Callorhinchus milii (elephant shark) is the source of this 74-nucleotide non-coding RNA. NCBI's taxonomy places the organism in Eukaryota, Metazoa, Chordata, Chondrichthyes, Chimaeriformes, Callorhinchidae. The record is from the annotation of a RefSeq genome assembly.
AGUCCUGUAGCUCAGUUGUUAGAGCGCUCACCUCAUAAGUGAGAGGACCUGGGUUCGAUUCCCAGGCAGAGUGA